Molecule: ribosomal RNA, 118 nt
Filed under: uncultured bacterium
Lineage: Bacteria
Description: partial 16S ribosomal RNA
Rfam family: Bacterial small subunit ribosomal RNA
Source: RNAcentral
GCCGCGUGCGGGAUGAAGGCCUUCGGGUUGUAAACCGCUUUUGAUUGGGAGCAAGCCUUCGGGUGAGUGUACCUUUCGAAUAAGCGCCGGCUAACUACGUGCCAGCCGCCGCGGUAAU